Molecule: ribosomal RNA, 200 nt
Filed under: uncultured prokaryote
Description: partial 16S ribosomal RNA
Rfam family: Bacterial small subunit ribosomal RNA
Source: RNAcentral
CGUCAAAUCAUCAUGCCUCUUACGUUCUGGGCUACACACGUGCUACAAUGGUGACUACAAAGAGUUUCGAUGUGGUAACACGGAGGCAAUCUCAAAAAAGUCAUCUCAAUUCGGAUUGUGGGCUGAAACUCGCCCACAUGAAGUCGGAGUUGCUAGUAAUCCCGAAUCAGCAUGUCGGGGUGAAUGCGUUCCCGGGUCUU